This 477-nucleotide ribosomal RNA is filed under the name uncultured Vibrio sp. Its description in RNAcentral is "bacterial SSU rRNA". It matches the Rfam family "Bacterial small subunit ribosomal RNA", at positions 97 to 570 of the family's 1533-position model. The record is from RNAcentral. Lineage: Bacteria; Pseudomonadati; Pseudomonadota; Gammaproteobacteria; Vibrionales; Vibrionaceae.
GGCGGACGGGUGAGUAAUGCCUAGGAAAUUGCCUUGAUGUGGGGGAUAACCAUUGGAAACGAUGGCUAAUACCGCAUAAUGCCUACGGGCCAAAGAGGGGGACCUUCGGGCCUCUCGCGUCAAGAUAUGCCUAGGUGGGAUUAGCUAGUUGGUGAGGUAAUGGCUCACCAAGGCGACGAUCCCUAGCUGGUCUGAGAGGAUGAUCAGCCACACUGGAACUGAGACACGGUCCAGACUCCUACGGGAGGCAGCAGUGGGGAAUAUUGCACAAUGGGCGAAAGCCUGAUGCAGCCAUGCCGCGUGUAUGAAGAAGGCCUUCGGGUUGUAAAGUACUUUCAGUUGUGAGGAAGGGGGUAGCGUUAAUAGCGCUAUCUCUUGACGUUAGCAACAGAAGAAGCACCGGCUAACUCCGUGCCAGCAGCCGCGGUAAUACGGAGGGUGCGAGCGUUAAUCGGAAUUACUGGGCGUAAAGCGCAU